RNAcentral lists this long non-coding RNA (1399 nucleotides) under Homo sapiens (human). Its description in RNAcentral is "long non-coding RNA NONHSAT152559.1". The stretch from base 1038 to 1114 matches the Rfam family "Small nucleolar RNA SNORD47". Lineage: Eukaryota; Metazoa; Chordata; Mammalia; Primates; Hominidae. The record is from RNAcentral.
UCGACUCCUGUGAGGUAUGGUGCUGGGUGCAGAUGCAGUGUGGCUCUGGAUAGCACCUUAUGGACAGUUGUGUCCCCAAGGAAGGAUGAGAAUAGCUACUGAAGUAAGUUGAAAAUUCCCUCUCAAAAAGGUUUAAAGCCAUUGGAUGUGCCACAAUGAUGACAGUUUAUUUGCUACUCUUGAGUGCUAGAAUGAUGAGGAUCUUAACCACCAUUAUCUUAACUGAGGCACCCAAAAUGGUGAGUUGGGGAACAUAGAGAGUACACCUAAGUUCACAUGAAGUUGUUUCUUCCCAGGUCCUAAAGAGCAAGCCUAACUCAAGCCAUUGGCACACAGGCAUUAGACAGAAAGCUGGAAGUUGAAAUGGUAAGUGAAACUGUAUCCAAGUAAGCAGGUAACUGGGCAAACUUCCUACGGCACAAAUGGCUUUUUAGUUACCUCCUAGUGCUGAAUGCAUUAAAUAAAUGGCGGAUUCUUGUCUUGUUAUGAUUAAUAAGAAAGUUUGUAAAUGCAGCCUGGAUGAUGAUAAGCAAAUGCUGACUGAACAUGAAGGUCUUAAUUAGCUCUAACUGACUAAAGGCAUUUGUUAGUUUUGGCAGGGGGUGAACACUCAUCUGUGGCUAUUCUAAGACCACUCUUAUUUCUUAGGUGGAGUCCAACUUGCCUGGACCAGCUUAAUGGUUCUGCUCCUGGUAACGUUUUUAUCCAUGGAUGACUUGCUUGGGUAUGGAGAGUCGGCUUGACUACACUGUGUGGAGCAAGUUUUAAAGAAGCAAAGGACUCAGAAUUCAUGAUUGAAGAAAUGCAGGUUAGUUUAAACUUUGAAGGAAAUUUUUAAGGUGGCAAAAGGUUUUGGUGGCAUAUACACCUUAAUCUGUAGAUGGGAGUGAUUAGCUGUUUAAAAGUUAAAAUGUGACUGAGAAGGAAAUUGAGUAGGGCAAAUUUUAAAUGGGUAUUAUUUUUCAUCUUCAAACAGGCAGACCUGUUAUCCUAAACUAGGUGAGUCAGCUUUUGGUACAUGUGAUGAUUUUCAGUGUAACCAAUGAUGUAAUGAUUCUGCCAAAUGAAAUAUAAUGAUAUCACUGUAAAACCGUUCCAUUUUGAUUCUGAGGUUACUCUACUAACAAGCAUCACACAUUUGUAUUUUGCCCUGAUUAAUAUGUUGGCUUCGCUUUCAGGGUUUUUAAUGACCACAACAAGCAAGCAUGCAGCUUACUGCUUGAAAGGGUCUUGCCUCACCCAAGCUAGAGUGCAGUGGCCUUUGAAGCUUACUACAGCCUCAAACUUCUGGGCUCAAGUGAUCCUCAGCCUCCCAGUGGUCUUUGUAGACUGCCUGAUGGAGUCUCAUGGCACAAGAAGAUUAAAACAGUGUCUCCAAUUUUAAUAAAUUUUUGCAAUC